Molecule: transfer RNA, 89 nt
Filed under: Burkholderia metallica
Lineage: Bacteria; Pseudomonadati; Pseudomonadota; Betaproteobacteria; Burkholderiales; Burkholderiaceae
Description: tRNA-Ala
Source: RNAcentral
UGGUCGGUCGCCGACGGCACCGGCGCGCCGUCGCGCGACGCCAGGUCGCCGUAGCGGCCGAACGCGCGGAUCGUCUGCGCGUUGAUCGA